GGUUGACCCUCCGACAUACAGAUGUGGGACUAAAAUUACUUUCAAGAUUUUAGAUAAAUUCUAAAGGUUUUAACAAGUAGCGGAUGUUAUGAAACAGAAGGAAGAAAUUCCUCGUAUGAAAGAGAUUCUUGCUUUGAAAAGGAAAAAAAUAGCUCGGAAAAGAGAGAAGUUCCACCAGUAUGUAUUGAUUGGAUCUUGAAUAUUUGUUAUUAUUGGUAGUGCUUUAUUGCUUAGAGGAAUUGGGGGAA
This 248-nucleotide long non-coding RNA is filed under the name Elaeis guineensis (African oil palm). RNAcentral's name for it is "long non-coding RNA (EGUI_LNC030723)". Lineage: Eukaryota; Viridiplantae; Streptophyta; Magnoliopsida; Arecales; Arecaceae. The record is from RNAcentral.